UACGUAGGGUGCGAGCGUUGUCCGGAAUUACUGGGCGUAAAGAGCUCGUAGGUGGUUUGUCGCGUUGUCCGUGAAAACUCACAGCUUAACUGUGGGCGUGCGGGCGAUACGGGCAGACUGGAGUACUGCAGGGGAGACUGGAAUUCCUGGUGUAGCGGUGGAAUGCGCAGAUAUCAGGAGGAACACCGGUGGCGAAAGGCGGUUCUCUGGGCCUUACCUGACGCUGAGGAGCGAAAGCGUGGGGAGCGAACGG
RNAcentral lists this ribosomal RNA (253 nucleotides) under uncultured bacterium. RNAcentral describes it as "partial 16S ribosomal RNA". It matches the Rfam family "Bacterial small subunit ribosomal RNA", at positions 524 to 775 of the family's 1533-position model. The record is from RNAcentral.